Molecule: non-coding RNA, 111 nt
Organism: Russula compacta
Lineage: Eukaryota; Fungi; Basidiomycota; Agaricomycetes; Russulales; Russulaceae
Source: the annotation of a GenBank genome assembly
GGCAAGGUGGCCGAGUGGUCCAAGGCGUGUGACUCAAGCGUAAAGCUUGCCUGACUAGUUCGGGUUUCUCAUCUGCGUAUGCAGGCAGGGGUUCGAAUCCCCUUCUUGUCA